Molecule: microRNA, 21 nt
Filed under: Picea abies (Norway spruce)
Lineage: Eukaryota; Viridiplantae; Streptophyta; Pinopsida; Pinales; Pinaceae
Description: pab-miR11568
Source: miRBase by way of RNAcentral
UUGCCCCUGAGAUCGUCAAGC